RNAcentral lists this ribosomal RNA (484 nucleotides) under uncultured bacterium. RNAcentral's name for it is "partial 16S ribosomal RNA". It matches the Rfam family "Bacterial small subunit ribosomal RNA", at positions 30 to 507 of the family's 1533-position model. The record is from RNAcentral.
AUUGAACGCUGGCGGCAGGCCUAACACAUGCAAGUCGAGCGGAUGAAGGGAGCUUGCUCCUGGAUUCAGCGGCGGACGGGUGAGUAAUGCCUAGGAAUCUGCCUGGUAGUGGGGGAUAACGUCCGGAAACGGGCGCUAAUACCGCAUACGUCCUGAGGGAGAAAGUGGGGGAUCUUCGGACCUCACGCUAUCAGAUGAGCCUAGGUCGGAUUAGCUAGUUGGUGGGGUAAAGGCCUACCAAGGCGACGAUCCGUAACUGGUCUGAGAGGAUGAUCAGUCACACUGGAACUGAGACACGGUCCAGACUCCUACGGGAGGCAGCAGUGGGGAAUAUUGGACAAUGGGCGAGAGCCUGAUCCAGCCAUGUCGCGUGUGUGAAGAAGGUCUUCGGAUUGUAAAGCACUUUAAGUUGGGAGGAAGGGCAGUAAGUUAAUACCUUGCUGUUUUGACGUUACCAACAGAAUAAGCACCGGCUAACUUCGUG